GACGAACGCUGGCGGCGUGCUUAACACAUGCAAGUCGAACGGAAAGGCCCUGCUUUUGUGGGGUGCUCGAGUGGCGAACGGGUGAGUAACACGUGAGUAACCUGCCCUUGACUUUGGGAUAACUUCAGGAAACUGGGGCUAAUACCGGAUAGGAGCUCCUGCUGCAUGGUGGGGGUUGGAAAGUUUCGGCGGUUGGGGAUGGACUCGCGGCUUAUCAGCUUGUUGGUGGGGUAGUGGCUUACCAAGGCUUUGACGGGUAGCCGGCCUGAGAGGGGGACCGGCCACAAUGGGACUAAGGGAGGGCCCAGACUCCUACGGGGGGCAAUGGGGGGAAAUAUUGCACAACGGGCGGAAGCCUGAUACAGCAACGCCGCGUGCGGGAUGACGGCUUUCGGGGUGUAAACCGCUUUCGCCUGUGACGAAGCGUGAGUGACGGUAAUGGGUAAAGAAGCACCGGCUAACUACGUG
RNAcentral lists this ribosomal RNA (468 nucleotides) under uncultured bacterium. RNAcentral describes it as "partial 16S ribosomal RNA". It matches the Rfam family "Bacterial small subunit ribosomal RNA", at positions 28 to 507 of the family's 1533-position model. The record is from RNAcentral.